AAUAGAUGGCGUCGUUGAUUUUUUCUCACAUGUUUGACCAUUCGUCUUAUUAAAAAAAUUUAUGUAAUUAUAAUUUAUUUUGUUAUGAGUUGUUUUAUCACCCAUAGUAUUUUAAGUGUGAUUUAUAUCUUAUAUAUUUGCAUAAAAUUUUUAAAUAAGACGAAUAAUUAAACAUGUGAGAAAAAAUCAACGGCGUCGUCACUUAGA
Molecule: microRNA precursor, 207 nt
Organism: Oryza rufipogon (brownbeard rice)
Lineage: Eukaryota; Viridiplantae; Streptophyta; Magnoliopsida; Poales; Poaceae
Rfam family: MIR812 microRNA precursor family
Source: Rfam